RNAcentral lists this ribosomal RNA (510 nucleotides) under uncultured bacterium. RNAcentral describes it as "partial 16S ribosomal RNA". It matches the Rfam family "Bacterial small subunit ribosomal RNA", at positions 28 to 507 of the family's 1533-position model. The record is from RNAcentral.
GACGAACGCUGGCGGCGUGCUUAACACAUGCAAGUCGAACGAAGAGCGAUGGAAGCUUGCUUCUAUCAAUCUUAGUGGCGAACGGGUGAGUAACGCGUAAUCAACCUGCCCUUCAGAGGGGGACAACAGUUGGAAACGACUGCUAAUACCGCAUACGAUCUAAUCUCGGCAUCGAGGAUAGAUGAAAGGUGGCCUCUACAUGUAAGCUAUCACUGAAGGAGGGGAUUGCGUCUGAUUAGCUAGUUGGAGGGGUAACGGCCCACCAAGGCGAUGAUCAGUAGCCGGUCUGAGAGGAUGAACGGCCACAUUGGGACUGAGACACGGCCCAGACUCCUACGGGAGGCAGCAGUGGGGAAACUUCCGCAAUGGACGAAAGUCUGACGAAGCAACGCCGCGUGAGUGAUGACGGCCUUCGGGUUGUAAAGCUCUGUUAAUCGGGACGAAAGGCCUUCUUGCGAAUAGUGAGAAGGAUUGACGGUACCGGAAUAGAAAGCCACGGCUAACUACGUG